This 76-nucleotide transfer RNA is filed under the name Candidatus Bathyarchaeota archaeon. Its description in RNAcentral is "tRNA-Met". It matches the Rfam family "tRNA". From Rfam's summary of the family: Transfer RNA (tRNA) molecules are approximately 80 nucleotides in length. Their secondary structure includes four short double-helical elements and three loops (D, anti-codon, and T loops). Further hydrogen bonds mediate the characteristic L-shaped molecular structure. tRNAs have two regions of fundamental functional importance: the anti-codon, which is responsible for specific mRNA codon recognition, and the 3' end, to which the tRNAs corresponding amino acid is attached (by aminoacyl-tRNA synthetases). tRNAs cope with the degeneracy of the genetic code in two manners: having more than one tRNA (with a specific anti-codon) for a particular amino acid; and 'wobble' base-pairing, i.e. permitting non-standard base-pairing at the 3rd anti-codon position. The record is from RNAcentral. Lineage: Archaea; Thermoproteati; Candidatus Bathyarchaeota. RNAcentral also lists the same sequence under 2 other names.
GCCGGGGUCGCCUAGCCUGGCCUAGGGCGCCGGACUCAUAUUCCGGUUUCCGCGGGUUCGAAUCCCGCCCCCGGCA